Molecule: long non-coding RNA, 30864 nt
Filed under: Nicotiana tabacum (common tobacco)
Lineage: Eukaryota; Viridiplantae; Streptophyta; Magnoliopsida; Solanales; Solanaceae
Description: long non-coding RNA (NTAB_LNC000243)
Source: RNAcentral
UUCUGUCUAGCACUACCUUUUUCUCUUUUCACUUUCAUCCUGACCUACAGAUCAGGAUAAUCUUUAUAUUUUGUAUUACAGUCAGUGGCGUACGUCGGAUUUUGCACAAAAGCAUUAAUAUGGUCUAUUAUCACAAUUUGGCUUGCGUUAUAAUUGAAAUUAAGUUAGAGAUUGUGAUAAUUUGAGUCUUUAGUUACUGUUACAAAUUGAUAUUUACUUUGUAAUAUUCAAAUGCGACGUCAACCUAUUAUUUACAUACAUCCAUAUAUAUUUAUUUUUUGAGAAAAUGUUGUUUAUGCACAUAUAAAAAAAAAUCUUAGCAAAGUGGUGUCGCAUGACACCUCUCCUCCACUUGUUGAGAUCCAAUUCCAAAAGACUACGAAUCUUUUACGAUUCGAAAAUCAAGUCGGAGACUACCACACAUAUACAAGAAAUACCUCAACAAGUGGUGGACAUGGAAGAGAUUGUUUUGCAAAUGCCAUUCGUUUUCCAAGCUAUAAAUAGGAGAAUUCGACCAUAUCUUGCAACGACCUGAGUUGCCUUUGACGUGUAUAGGCUCAUAUCUCAAAGCUAGGGUAAGUUCAAAACACUUCUUCACUACCAAUAUGGUUGUUCUAAUGAGUGCCAGCAAGAAGAAGGUAUCAACUGAUUGCCCCAAGUUUUUGGCUACGGAAGCUAAGUUGGGAUCGUCUAUAUGUAUCUACAGAGGAUGUGAAGGUGAUGACGAUGACGAUGACGAUGAUGAUGAUGCUUCAAAGGUGGCACCAGCUGCAUGAUAUUGUAAUGGUAUUUCCUACAACAACACAUAGUAAUACAUAUACCUAAAGCGAAUUAACAAUGUUGACAUCUAAAAGAGAGAGACAUGUAGUGAAGUGAGUUACGUCUGUAGAGAAGGAAGAGAGCAAUGCAUGAGAGAUAUCUUCUUGUUUUCUACUUACAGUACUAAUUGGGUGGUAAACCUCGUAUGUUGUAAUGAUUUCUUUUUAUAUUCUAUAUUUAUAACUAGGCAAUCAUGAAGGAAGCAAUAUUCCAAAUUUAGUGGAGGCAUCAGGCAUGCUUCGCUUCGGUAGCUAGGCUUUUUUGAACUCAUAUUUAUACUUCGAACUUCAAGACAAUGGCCUAAAGUCUCGCUAUGGCAGUUCAAACUAAGGGCUAUUAGUGUGAAGUUCGAAUUACAAUUUUUAGAGUUCAGAAUUUAAUGUGUCUUUUCUACAUGAUACAACUCUUUGUUAAAAGAUGCAUCCAAUCUUUAGGACACAUCUGCAUGCAACGAUAUAUCCAAUCAUUACAAUAGAAUGCGUCUCUUUAUUUAAAGGUAAGUUAUAUUUCACUCCCUGUAAAAUAUAAAUAUACUCAUUCCAUCUGCAGAAAAAUAAUCACUUGAGAUCUACUCCUUCUGGUUCACCAUCUUUUCACAAUCUUCGAGUGUCCCUUUCUAUCUACUCUAAAUUACUACAUACGCAAUUGAUAGAUUAAAGAGUUACGUAUUCAGAACUUCUAUUUGGAAGUAGAACUUUUUAUUUCCUGGAUAGCACGGAGAUCUACUCCACAGACAGCAUCUUUCCGGAGCGUCCCUCGAAUCAAUUUUCCCUACCCAAAGUUUUAUCUCUUCUUUUAUUUUUAACUAUCAUCUCCUGUUUGUUGAUAAACUGUUCUUCUCAGUGUUUUCAUUUCUUAUAAUUUUCAACAGGAUUAUGAAGUCAUUUGUAAGAGAUGGUUGUUCAUCGUGUUGGACGAAUCUUAAUAUAUCUGAACCGUAGUACUGCGUGCUAUACAUGCUUUAUUUUCAUUUCAAGAAACAAAUACAUGGGCAAGGUAGAAAAAGAUAGGGUUAGGCCAACCAUAAAACUCCUAAAAACAUCAAACUCAAAACAGGAUUGGAAAUAAUAUUGAGUUAUUCCAUUGUACCCAUUGGUACUCAUACAACCAUGAAUUGAAAAGACUGUACCAAAACUCCUAAAAAACAACCCCCGCUUGAACUGAAGUCUUAUAUAUUUGGAUAAGGAGAAGUCAAGAAGCUCCCUAUCCUUCUCAAAUUCAGUCAUUAAUUACUUGUUCCUCUAACGAUACGAUUGCUUCUAUUCCAUCCCCACUUUUACAAUCCAUCAAAACAAAUGAGUUCGGUACAAGUGGCCUCCCCCAAUUAAAGUUCACACUGUACGUCGGGUAGUUACAAAAACGGCUUGUCCAAAAUAUGUCAAAUUCAUUAGCAUUGGAUGGCCUAUUUUGAUGCUUAUCGAAAUUCACUAGUGCUGUCAUCAAUAGCUCAUUCUCUUUAACUCGAUCUUUUCCCCGAGUAUUUCCUGUUGCUUCCUCAACCCUCGAACCAUGCUUCGAAGAUUCAUGUUUUCUCUCGCGGUUAGUGAUGUUUUAUACUUCAAUACCACACAAGAGGGGGUAAUUUGUGUGGUGCCUGAUUUUCGCGUGCACUAGAUUAUCGAAGGACCUGGUUCUUCUACGCGCUCCUUACACUACACUUGCGGAAUACAUAAUACAGAAAGUAAAGAAAACAAGGAUUUUUACGUGAAAAACACCCGGCUCAAAAAGUAAAAAAACACGACCUACUACCUAGUAGGAUUUUUUCCAAACACUUCACUACAACUCUGAGCCAACAACAAAGUUUACAAACUCUUGCAAACCUAAGGACUACCUCUAACCCUUGUAGCAACCAGCCACAGGUUGUUGCGACUACUUCAAGUUAACUCUAACUUGAACAAUACAACUAGAGUUUACAACCUCUUGCAAACCGAAGGAUUAACUCUAACCAUUAUAGCAACACGCCACAGGCUGUUGCAACAACUUCAAGUUGCCUCUAACUUGAAAGAUACAACUCAGGUACCUAGUACAAUUUGCUUCUUAGAAAGCUGAAAGGUACAACUCAAAACGCCUACUACACUUUGUAUUAGAAAUAAAAAAAGACACAUAAAACUCUUUAUGGAACUAGUUCUUCAAUCUGGUUCGUGUAGCUUCAGGAUCGCACUCUUAAACCUCACAGGAAUUGCUCACAAAAUGCCUUGCUAUUUUGCUAUCAAUUUGUGCUUAAUUUCAGUAUGUAUGCAUCACCUGUAAAAGAGAACACAAUUGAUAUAUAUAUAGUUAUUAAAUAAAGAUUAACCAGAAGUCUAAUGCUUUACUCUUCCUUGGUGGAAGAGUUCUAGUUAUCUUCAACUUCUAACUCUUUCCUUAUCUUGGAUAGAGUUCUCUUCAAGUAAGGAGUCCUUCUCCUUAUCAAAUAUGCAACUAUUUCGGUGAGGGAUUACCAUAAAUAACCACUUAUACUUAUCCCUUUCACGUGUAUGCCUUUUGCUUGAUUCUUCCCAUCACAUGUGUACACUGUCCCUGGACCUGGUUCAUGCAUGUGUUCCUUUGUCAAUCAUCAAAACCAAAACUGCUCAGGUCAACAAAUUCCUCCUUUUUGAUAAUGACAAACUCAGUGCUUUUCAUAAGCAUGAAACCUGCUUCAACUCAGCUCAACAUCAACACAAUGUUAGAACAUUUUACCUUUUUAAAGUCCCUUAUCAUCAAGGACCGGGUUCAUUAGGUUAUAAACAUCACAGUCCAAAGUAAAAGCACAAUCUAAUUCCCCAUUUUGGCAUCAUCGAAAAGUUGCAUAAUAAAGGUAAGUAACCAGAUUUUAGCAGAUAUCACUCAUGGCCACUGGGGCUACUUCAAAUACAAUCAUGGAUUCAAUUUUCUAUUUAUCAAUCUAAGGAUAUUAUCCAUCUAAGAAAUAUCAACAAACAACUAGAGCAAAAGCAGUGAAUUCCAUUGAUUGAUAAGAUCAAACCACAAAGCAUAAGAAGAAACAAAAACAUAGAACCAUGAACAAAAGACAAAGAAAUCUCACUUGGGUUACUGGUUACAACUAGGCUAGGAAAGAUUUAGGACUGGGAAGGACCUGGUUCUUGGUUCUUGGCUCGAAGCAGUUUCAGCAUAACUUGAAGAAUACCAUCAUUCUUCUCUUUUUACUUUGCAAGCUCACACUUGAGAUAGUCUCUCUCAGCCUCUACUUCAGCCAACCUAGUCUUCAAUCGUUAAAUCUCAAUAUCCUUAAUCAUUUUCUUCCACUAUUUGAGCCUUCUUUCUCCUUUUAGCAGACCUAGUUCUUUUAGACACAAUUGAACCCUCAGCCUCAGCCUCAGCCUCAGCCUCUGUUUCUCGAGAAUUCUUUUGAGAAGUCUCUCUUUUUGGCACUAGGUGUGGGUAUUUCCACAUCCUCAUAUUCAUCUUCAAGAACCAGGUUCAUCUCCUCAAUCUGGACUACUCCACUUGGCUUACCAGCCCUUUUUAUAAGCGACCUUCUUGGCAUUCUCAGCUAAGGCCUUUUUUACAUUGGCCUCACUCUGCGUCUUACGUCUCCUUGUAGUUCUUCCUCUUGUGAGAGGAGUUGUUACAGGGAUAGAAGGAGCACUCUUUCUCUUAGUGCCACCCAUGCUAUUUCCUGCAGUCUUUCCAACUUUGUUCUUCUUCUUUUUGAUUGUAACUAUCUAACACCUUUUGCAACAGAUCAGGACUCUUGUCUAUUUUAGCAAGAGAAGGAACUGGUUCAUGAAAUUGUUUCCUUAACCUAACCACCCCAUAUGCUGCACUUCUAUCACCAGAACCAUCACCUAUCUCCUGUGAUUCUAUCCCCGUACUUUCAUUCAUAGUCUCUUCAAUAUCACUAAUCUCAUCACUUAAUACAAUCAUUGCUCCAGCUUCUUCAGUCAAACCAACAAGAGUGGGUGAAGGAGAUCUAGCCACUCUUUCAUCUCUUUUUCCCCUCAUAUCUACUUCAACACCCUCACUCUUUUUUUUACCACUAAUUUUUACAGACCUACUAGUUUCUACACCGGUAAUCGAACCAACCAACACAAACCUAUUUUCGAGACUCUCAGCAAUUUCAAAAGAAAUAGCAAAAGUUUUUAAUCUAGAGGUUAGCCGUUCAGUUUCAGAUGAAACUGGUUAUUCCCCCUCAGUCAUAGACAUAAAGGACUCAUCAGAUUGUUAGGGUUCUUCUGCUUGACUGGCUUGUAGCACCUCACUCUAUUUCUUAGCUUAUUCUCUACUUGCCACAGUGUUGCAUGCAAUAAUUUUGAUAUGAUUUUUCUUGGGGGUUUGGGUGGUUGAAAGUGUGGGUGAUGGUUCUUUGGGUGUUGAGGAAGGCAUUUCAUAGUUUUUGGGAUUCUCAUAAGUGUUUUCCAUUUGAUCAGUACAGAAACUUGAGAGAAAUAGAGAGAGUUUUGAGGUUUUGGAAAUUUUAAUCUUUCAAAACAAAUUUGAGAUAAGAGGGUAAGGUCAGAUCAAUUUAAAGAGGGAAAGCUUGAGUGUAUAACAACACCUUUUUAAAGUCUAGAAGUCUAAUCACAUUGGAAUUUUUAGUUCAUGAUCCAUAUGAAGUUAUUUCAAAUUAUACCGAGUGUAGAAUACAUACCUUAUAAUCUCGAUGAACCAGGUUCUUCACUGAAAGUUCUCUUGUGUAGGAAUUAUUUUUUCCAAGAAAAUAAGGAUAAUAUCAUUAGACAUCAAUGAGACAUUUUAGCACAUGGCACAAGAGUAUACAAAUAAAAGCAUGAGACUAAGCAAUAUCUAAUCUAAUUAUUCACAAAAUUCAUAAAUUAUCUAACCAGUCAUUGAGUUUGGAGAAAAUCCUAUUGGGUAGUAGGUCGUGGUUUUUUCACCUUUUGAGCCAGGUGUUUUUCACGUUACUAUCCUUGUGUUCUUUACUUUCUGCAUUAUUUAUUCCGCAACUAUAGUGUAAGGAACGCAUAGAAGAACCAUGUCCUUCGAUAAUUGGUAUCAGAGCGGGUUAUCCUUGAAGAGGCUAAUACCUUAGGAAAGUAUCAAGAUGAGUGCACUACCUGGAAACUGUAAAGAGUAAUCUACCACUAGGCCACCACUAUUCAAUGAUCACUACUAUUCUUUAGGGAAGGAUAGGAGAAGAGAUCACUUGCAGAUGACUGAUGGGUGCUUCAUAUGUGGUAAAAAGAACCACAUGAUCAAGAACUGUCCUACGUGGGAUGUCGACUGGAAGAAGGAGAAAUCUAAAAGAAGGAACAGAAAGAAGGAACAUGUUCAUGACAAGAAGAACUACAACAAAAGGUCAUCCAAAGCAGUGGUUGCUACUUGGAAAGAUAAUUCAGAUGAGGAAACUAAUGAUAAUGCUAAACAAACUCUUAUAGCAAUACGAGAAUCUGAAGAUGAACCUGAUGAAGAAUCUGAGAUAAGUUUUCUGGACUUUAAGGAUAAAAUUAAAAUCCUUUCUAAAGAGAGACUAUCAGAAUUGUUGCUAACUUUAAUUGAUGAAUCUAAGAAUAUAAGUUCUGAAAAAGAACAGUUGUCAAAAGAGUGUAACUUUUUAAAAGGAGAAUGCAAAAACCUUGAAAUAAACGUUUGUAAAACUGAAAAGGAAAAUACUGCUUUGAAGAACCAGGUUCAUGAACUUGAUACAACUGUCUUGGAAAUUAGAUAUGAAAAUAUAAAGUUAAAGUUAGGGAUAGGAAAAGAGAUAGCAAGUGAUAUACAACUCAACCGAGGAUGACUUAAGGAAGUUUAAAGAUGAGCUAUACAAAAAGGAAGAAAAUGUAAGAGUUUUGAAAGAGGACUUAACAAAGGUAAAACAUGAGCUUGAUAGAACAUGUAAAUGGAACAGGUCAUCCAAUGCACUUUCAUUGCUACAAGAACACCCUAGUAGAAACAAAAACGGACUUAGCUUUGGGAACUUUGAAACUGAAUGGGAUCCUAAAAAUAGGUACCUAACACUCCCUAAGAAUAAGAUUUUCACACACUGUGGAAAUACUGGUCACUACAAGAGUGAUUGCACUGCGAAAGAAAAGGUAGAUCAAAAGAACAAAAAAUUUGUUCUAGGGAAAAAUAGGCUGCCAAGUUGGGCUAAAAGGAAUUUGAUUCAUCCUUUUGACUAUACAAAGGGACCAAACUAGUUUGGGUUCCUAAGACUAACCCCUGGUUUCUUUUUCCAGGUCCAAGUGAAGGGGAUCAGUCAAAUAUAGUACAUGGAUAGUGGCUGCUCAAAGUAUAUGACAGAAAGCAAGAACCAGUUCCUUUCACUUAAGGACCUUAAAGGAGGUAAUAUCUCCUUUGGAAAUGGGAAAAAGGUGAGAUCAUUGGGGUUGGAAAGGUAGGUAAGACUGACUUGAUAGAUGGACUGAAGCAUAGUCUAAUAAGUGUAUCAUAAUUGUAUAAUAGAGGUAACAUGGUAGCAUUCACAUCUACCAAAUGCUUUGUGAUUAAUCUUACCACUGACAAGAUAGUUUUGCAGGAAAAAAGAGUGAACAACAUAUAUGUUGUAGAUCUAUCCACACUUUCAGAAAAUGAACCCACUUGCUUAAGUGUGUUGGAUAGUGAUCCCCUCCUUUGGCAUAAGAGACUUGGACAUGUUAGUCUAAGUCAACUCAACAAACUAGUCUCCAAGGACUUGGUGAUAGGACUGCCUAACAUUAAGUCUAAGGAAGAUAUAGUUUGUGACGCUUGUGGAAGAGGGAAGCAUGUAAGAUCUUCUUUCAAAAGUAAGAAAAUGGUGAGUACUACCAGGUCGAUGGAACUGGUCCAUAUGGAUCUGUAUGGACCAAUGAGGACAAUGAGCAGAGAUGGNNNNNNNNNNNNNNNNNNNNNNNNNNNNNNNNNNNNNNNNNNNNNNNNNNNNNNNNNNNNNNNNNNNNNNNNNNNNNNNNNNNNNNNNNNNNNNNNNNNNNNNNNNNNNNNNNNNNNNNNNNNNNNNNNNNNNNNNNNNNNNNNNNNNNNNNNNNNNNNNNNNNNNNNNNNNNNNNNNNNNNNNNNNNNNNNNNNNNNNNNNNNNNNNNNNNNNNNNNNNNNNNNNNNNNNNNNNNNNNNNNNNNNNNNNNNNNNNNNNNNNNNNNNNNNNNNNNNNNNNNNNNNNNNNNNNNNNNNNNNNNNNNNNNNNNNNNNNNNNNNNNNNNNNNNNNNNNNNNNNNNNNNNNNNNNNNNNNNNNNNNNNNNNNNNNNNNNNNNNNNNNNNNNNNNNNNNNNNNNNNNNNNNNNNNNNNNNNNNNNNNNNNNNNNNNNNNNNNNNNNNNNNNNNNNNNNNNNNNNNNNNNNNNNNNNNNNNNNNNNNNNNNNNNNNNNNNNNNNNNNNNNNNNNNNNNNNNNNNNNNNNNNNNNNNNNNNNNNNNNNNNNNNNNNNNNNNNNNNNNNNNNNNNNNNNNNNNNNNNNNNNNNNNNNNNNNNNNNNNNNNNNNNNNNNNNNNNNNNNNNNNNNNNNNNNNNNNNNNNNNNNNNNNNNNNNNNNNNNNNNNNNNNNNNNNNNNNNNNNNNNNNNNNNNNNNNNNNNNNNNNNNNNNNNNNNNNNNNNNNNNNNNNNNNNNNNNNNNNNNNNNNNNNNNNNNNNNNNNNNNNNNNNNNNCAAUAGCUAUCUAAAGGAAGAAGUGUUUGUCAAGCAACCUCUGGGCUUUGAAAGCAAGGAAUGUCUUGAUCAUGUGUGCAAGCUUGAGAAGGAACUUUAUGGGCUCAAGCAGGCUCCAAUAGCAUGGUAUGAAAGUUUAUCAAAAUUUCUUCUUGCGCAUGGAUACAAGAGAGGUAAAAUUAACAAUACUUUGUUCAUGAAAGAAAAAGAUAAAGAUCUGUUAGUAGUUCAGAUAUAUAUUUAUGAUAUAAUCUUUGGAGUAACUACUGAUAAGUUAAGUAAGGAAUUUGCUAAACUAAUGGGGAGUGAAUUUGAAAUUAGUAUGAUGGGUGAGCUUAAUUUAUUUUUAGGCUUACAAAUUAAACAAAAUUCAAAUGUAACUACGGUCCAUCAGCAGAAGUAUGCAAAAGAGUUGCUUUAAAAAGUUUAAAAUAGAAGAUUCUAAAGAAAUUGACACUCCUAUAGCAACAGCCACAAAAUUGGAUGUGGAUGAACCUGGUUCAUCUAUUGAUUAGAAGUUGUAUAGGGGAAUGAUUGGCUCCUUGUUAUAUCUUACUACUAGCAGACAUGACAUUGAUUUUAGUGUAGGACUUUGUGCUAGAUUUCAAGCAAAUCCCAAGGUGUCGCACUUGACUGUUGUCAAGAGGAUCUUGAGAUACCUAAAAGGCACCACUGACCACUGUCUAUGGUAUUCAAAGGCUGUAUCCCCAUAUUUGUGAUAACACUAGUGCAACUAGUAUGACCAGAACCAGUCCAUCACAAAAGAACUAAGAAUAUAGAUGUUGGGCAUCGUUUUCAUAGGGAUAAUUUUGAGAUAUGUUGAUCACUGUGGAAUUUUAGGCUACUGAUAAGGAAAUUGCUGAUUGAGAGCGAAAAUGAAAUACAACAUACAUUUUGCGAAAAAUUUCCUGUCUUCCAAUGGUGGUUGAGCCUGCUAUGUAUAGCUUUACUUAGGUAAACAAGAUCCUAGGAUCAAGCCCCAUUUAAAUGAUAAUAAAAGAUCCAUUGAUGAAUAUGUAACGGCGGUCCAUGAAUGAAAAUAUUCUCUAUAAUGUCUGCCCAUUUAAUCUUAGAGAAUAUUCUUCAUUGAAUGUUAUUCGAUGGAAAAUAUUCGAUCUGUUCCCGUUGACCAUGCUCCCUUCGUGGUUUAUCUGAUGUCAAUGCAGUUGUUGUUCCUGGUACUGGCUGUUACCUGAUUCGUCUUUUACCUGUCUUUGGUUCCACGUGUCAUGCUAUCAUUCGAUCAUUUAUUAUGAACUAAUUUUACCAUGUACAGAUAGCCCCCCUUCUUUCCAUUGACAUAUCUUUAUUUCACCGAGAAGUUGGUGAAGAUUCCUUUCUUGGUGAGAAAUCUCUUGAAAAGUCUAUGACACUUGAAAGGAUGCACGCCUUCUCGCAUUUAAUACCCUGAACAUGUGUUGCCCCACGAUUGAGUAAUAUUUUCACCGAUUUUUUAGGUAAUCAUGGUCAUGAUUUUUGUCGUAUAUAUCUUCACUUCUACUUAUUACUUUACUUCUUUACUUUCAAAAUUAGUUUUUAUAAACCUUUCUUCUUCUCUGCACUUACAAUGCAUUUGCUUAGAAUCUUUUUCAUCUCCUUCAACGCCCUAGCAAAAAGUUUUACUAUAUUUUUACUACCAUGGCUUCGUCUACUGCAUCCUCCAGAAACUCUGGCAUUUUAUUCGGUAGAGGCCCUAAGAGAAAUAAGGACCUUGAUGCCGAUUUUAAGCCUCCCACUAUAAACACCAUAAUACCAAAACACCUUAGUAUUGCUAAUGACUUCCAAGAGAAUGCCCUAUCUGCGUCCCACGGACUUGGGCCGUUAGUAGGUACCCAAAUUGAAUCAUGCUUCUGAAAUGGGCGAGGUAAACCUAUUAUGAAGUCCAUGUUUAUUAUCUCCCAUUUCCAAACGGGAAUUUCUAUUCUCUAAUCCUAACCACCAGGCCUCUAGUGUUCGGCUUUCACCUACUGACAAUUUGGAAACAUAGCCACAAAAUCUGCUACAUUCUUUUUUGUAUCAUUCCACCAUUAGAUCUCCUUAAGAUUAUGAUACAUCUUCGUGGAACCUGGGUUGCAACGACCCGACCGGUCAUUUUGAGCUCUAGAAUGUCAUUCAGUGGUUUGAGAUACUGAGUAGCUUCACUUAAGGUAUUAUGAAUUGUACGCAUGGUCGGAAUUUAAUUUCGGGAAGUUCGAAGUUGAUUUGAAAAGAAAAUUCUAAUUUCGGAAGCCUUAAGUUCGAGGAAUUGACUAAAGUGUGAUUUUUGAGUAGACGACCUUGGAAUCAGAAUUUGAAGGUUCCAACAGGUUCGUAUAAUGAUUUUGGACUUAGGCAUAUGCCCGGGAGCGUUUCAGCGCCUAUUAUGGAAGUUGGCAUUUUUGGAAGAAUUUCCUAAAUUUGGGUUGAAGUGCAUUUCAAUGUUAUUGAUGUCCGUUUGGGAUUCCGAGUCUGGAAAUAGCUCAGUAUGGUGAUUCUGGUAUUGGGAGCGCGUCCGGAUAUGAAUAUGCAGGUCCGUAGGUUAGUUUGGGGUCAUUUGGAGAAAGUUAGAUAUUUGAAGGUUUUUGCGAAGUUUGACCGGGAGUGGACCUUUUGAUAUCAGGGUUGGAUUCUGAUUCUGGAAGUUGGAGUAGGUCCGUAAUGUCGAAAGUGAAUUGUGUGCAAAAUUUGAGGUCAAUCGGACGUGAUUUUAUAGGUUUCGGCAUCGAUUGUAAAAAUUUGAAGUUUCAAAGCUCAUUAAGCUUGAAUUGGGGUGCGAUUCACGAUUCCGAUGAUGUUUGAUAUGAUUUGAGGCUUCGAGCAAGUCCGUGUUAUGUUAUUGGACUGAUUGGUGUGAUUGGAUGGGGUCAUGGGGGCCUCGGGUGGGUUUCGGAUGCUUAACAGAUCGAUUUUUGGACUAAGGAAAAUGCUAAGGCAGCAGGUAUCUGGUGUAACCGCACCUGCGAGGUUUUGGACGUAGGUGCAGGGCCGCAGAAGCGACCAAGAGGGUCGCAGAAGCGGUUCUGGCUGGGGAAGUCUGGGACCGCAGAUGCUGUCGAGUUCCGCAGAACCAAGACUGCACCUGCGCACGAAAAGGCGCAGAAGCGCUGCCAGGCCGCAGAAGCGCUGCCACGCCGCAGAUGCGGGAAAUGUUGGGCUGAGCUUGAACUGCUUCCGCAGGUGCGGAGCCGCAGAAGCGGCUAUUGCACCGCAGGUGCGAGGAUCACUGGGCAGUGAGGUUUUACAAAACGGGGUUUUGGCUCAUUUUCACUUCAUUUCGUCUAUGGGAGCCGAUUUUGGUGCACUUUUGGAGUGCCAUCUUCAUCAACUAUAAUGGGGUAAGUGAUUGCUUCACAUUGUGAGUUAAAUACAUGGUUUUUACAUGGAUUCAAGCAUAAAAAAUUGUAGAAAUUUGGGAUUUUGAAGAAAAACCUAGAAAUUGGUAUUAUUGGAUUUUGAUCACGAAUUUGGGCAUGAAAUUGAGAAUAAAUUAUAUAUUGGAGUUCGUAGUGCUAUGGGUAGUGUUUGUUUUCAAAAAGUUUUGGUAUCGGGCACGUGGGCCCGAGGGUUGCUUUAUCAAUUUUUUAAGGGAAUUGGAAGUUGAUAUAAAUUUAUUAAUUAUGAAUAUUAGAGUAUAUUUUGAUUGGGCUGCAUCUUAAUUGACUAGUUUUGGAUCGGCGGGCAUCGGUUUGAGGUGUCAGAGAGGCUUUGGAGCCGGUUAUGGAAUUUUGGAGCGAGGUAUGUCUCUUGUCUAACUCUGUGAGGGGGAAAUUACUCCUAGUUAUUGUAUAUGGAUGUGCUAUACUUGUUGUGGGGGCUACGUACGCGCGAGGUGACGAGAGCCUGUAGGCUUAGGUUAGGUUCACAUCAUGCUAUUGUCCGAGUAGGCUUAGGUUCACAUCAUGCUAUAGCUGUAUUAUUUUAGCAGUCUCNNNNNNNNNNNNNNNNNNNNNNNNNCACUUGCUGCAUAUUUUUUUGUGCAGGCACAUAUAUGGCUAGAGGCCAUGUGAGAGAAGAGGCGUGUAUUUACAUUUUUUUUUCCUAUCCAAUUUGUUCUCCGGACAACUGCUGUAUUUUAUUUUAUAUUCCUAGUUAAUGCUCAUGCACUUGUGACACCGGAUUUUGAGAUGAUUAUGGAUUGUUCUAUAUUGAAUUUGUUAAAAGUAUUAUUAUUUACUCUGUAAAUCCCCAUUCUUUACUAUUUAAAUUAAAAAAAAAAUAUGAUUUCAAAAUAAUAAAAUGAGAACCCAAUUAAGUAAUUAUUGUUGGCUUUCCUGACAGUGGUGUCCGGCGCCAUCACGACCUUUAUGAAUUUUGGCUCGUGACAUGGGUGAAUAGAAUACCUGGAAUUUCGGUCUUCUGACAUAAUCUGCUCUCUAAGCCCAUCUACGUCUGGAACGCAUAGUCUGCCUCUAUACCUCAAAGUACCAUCAUCUCCCCCUUGUUCAAAAGUCGUAGUCUUGUGUUUGUGAAUCCCUUCCGUCUGCUACAAUAAGUAGGGAUCACUGAACUGUUUUUCCUUCACUUCGGCUAAUAAGGAGGAUUCAACCCUUUUCUGAAAAACAACGCCACCAUCUUCGAAGACCAGAAGUCAAACUCCUAGACUUGCUAAGAAGUGGACUUCCUUUGUCAUCGUUCUCUAGUUUGCUUCAACAUGAGCUAAGCUUCCCAUAGAAUGCCGAUAAAGAGCAUCGGCUACAGGAUUUGCUUUCCCCGGAUGAUAGAGGAUAUAAACAUCGUAAUCCUUGUGCAAUUUGAGCCACCUUCUCUGACGAAGAUCCAAUUCUCUUUGCUUGAAGAUGUACUGGAGACCCUUGUGAUCUAUGAAACUAUCAACAUGCACUCCAUACAAAUAAUGGUGCCAGAUCUUUAGCGCAAAUACCACAACUGCUAACUCAAGAUCACGAGUCGAAUAAUUCUUCUCGUGAGCCUUGAGCAAUCUCGAUACGUAGGCUAUGACUUUACCGUGCUGCAAUAAUACGCACCCAAGACCAACCCCUAAAGCAUCACAAUAAAUAACGAACCCUUCGGUUCCUUCCAGUAGUGUCAAGACUGGAGCUGAAGUCAACUGCUUCUUCACUCCUCAAAACUCUUCUCGCAAGCGUCUGACCACUGAAACUUGACUUUCUUUUGAGUCAGCCUAGUCAAAGGGGACGAGAUAAAGCAAAAUCCCUCUAUGAAAUGCAUGUAAUAGCCUGCUAAACCCAAGGAACUUCUUAUAUUGGAUAAUGAGGUAGGUCUAUGCCAGUUCCUCACUACCUUUAUUAUCUGAAAAUCCACCUUCAAGCCUUCGCCUGAGAUGACAUGGCCCAAAAACGCUACUUAUUUCAACCAGAAUUUACACUUAUGAAAUUUUGCAUAUAGCUUGUGAUCCUACAGUGUCUGCAACAAGAUUCUAAGAUGUUCUACAUGGUCAUUCUAGCUACGGGAAUAAAUCAAGAUGUCGUCAAUAAACACAAUAACGAAAAAAAUCAAGAUAAGGUUUGAAGGCCUUAUUCAUAAGGUCAAUGAAAGUUGUUGGUGCAUUCGUUAAACCAAAUGACAUUACCAAAAAUGUGAAAUGUGCAUAGCGAGUCCUAAAGGCUGUUUUUUGAACAUCAACUAUCUUAACCCUCAACUAAUUGUACCUUGAUAUAAGGUCAAUCUUGGAAUAACAUUGGGCACCCCAAAGUUGAUCGAAUAAAUCAUCUAUUCUAGGAAGAGGGUACUUGUUCUUGAUGGUGACUUUAUUCAACUGACGAUAGUCAAUGCACAUGUGCAAAGACCCAUCCUUCUUUCUGAAGAACAAGACCGGUCCGCCCCAAGGUGAGACACUUGGCCCUAUAAAUCCCUUAUCUAGAAGAUCUUUCAAAUGGAAUUUUAGCUCUUUCAAAUGGAAUUUUAGCUCUUUCAACUCUACUAGAGCCAUCCUAUAAGGCGGAAUAGAUAUCGGCUUAGUGUCGGGGAGUAGAUCAAUUCCAAAGUCAAUCUCUCUAUCAUGAGGGACUUCAGGAAGAUCUUCGGGAAGCACUUCUAGGAACUCAUUUACAAUUGGUACUGACUAGAGUGUGGGAAUCUGAGCAUCUGCAUCCCUAACUCGAACCAGGUAAAAGAUAUACCCUUUAGAGAUUAUAUAUCUGGGUUUAUGAUAGGAAAUAAACCUACCCCUAGGUGCUAUCACAUCACCCUUCCAUUUUGGUUUUAUAACCCACUGUGGCAUAACAAGACUCUAACCAAUCCUUGCCCAUGAUUACAUCGAAGUCUACCAUCUCCAAUUCUACUAAGUUUGCUAUAGUAAGGCGAUGAUAUAUUUUGACUGGACAUCCCCUAUAGAUAUGUCUAGCAAUAACUGAUUCUCCAACUAGAGUGGACACUUCAAAGGGUUCACACAACUUUUCCGGUUCUAUAACAAAUUUCAUAGAAAUAUGGGGUUACAUAAGAUAAGGUGGAUCCCGGAUCCAUAAGAGCAUAAACAUCAAAGGUGAAAACCGUUAGCAUACCUAUGACAACAUCUGCACAAGACUCUGUAUCCUAACAGCCUGCCAGUGCAUAAAAGCUAUUCCAACCACCGCCCGUAUUACCGGACUUUGCUUCACCACGCCCUUGUUGGGCCUGAGAGUUAUGAGGGGCUAUUGAAUUAGUGGACUGCGCUACAUAGCCUCCAUUAUUCUACCUUAGUGAUAGACAUUCCCUCAAGAAGUGGCCCUGCUGACUACCCCCACAGCAACCAUUUGUGCCCGAACGAUACACCACUGGGUGCCUCUUACCACAGUGCAAAUAGGGUAACCAGGGACUCUGUAGCCCAUACUAGCUUGUGACUGUGAGUCUACUGCUCAGAAAUUCUGGUUUUUCUUGUUAUACUUGGACCUUUUAACUGAUGUACAAGCUAAAGAGGCAGUAGGUCCUGAUAUUGGUUUCCUGAAGAAGUGGCGAUUACCACCUCCUUGAGAUUAACCAUGGCAGAAAUUUCCUGCAGACUUAGCUCUCUUACUGAAUUCCAUGUCCUUCUCUCUAUGUAGCCGCUCUUCUUCCUUCAUCCUCUCUUUGUUCCCUUGAACAAAUGCAACUCUUAGUAAUGGUCAUGUCGUUGUUCUGAGUAGCUAUAUUAGCAUCAGCAAACAAGUCAUCUGAAAGCCCCAACACAAACCGCCUAACUCUGGACCUCAUAUCACAAACCAUUUCCGGAGCAUACUUGGCCACAACGACAAACUUGAGGUAGUACUCGUUCACACUCAUCUCAUUCUGUUUGAGUCUCUCUAACUAUAAAGCCUUAUCUUCCAAGACCUCAAUGGGUAGAAAAUGCUCAAGAAAUACGUCUGCAAACUCCUUACAAGUCACAGGAGUCGCAUCCUCCCUCGAAACUCCUCCCAUGUUUCAUACCAAGUGUUAGCAACAUUCUUCAGCAUGUAUGCAGCAAGCUCUACUGCCUUAGUGUCUGUAGCAUGCAUCACUCGAAAUAUAUUCUUAACAUCAUUAAUGAAGUUUUGCGGAUCCUCAACCUUUUUAGACACUGUGAAUAUUGGAGGUUUCAUGUUGAGGAAUUCCUUGGACAUGGAACUACCUGUCUCAUCAACAACACUUGUUCCCUGCCUUUGAGCCUCAGUACAAAUAAUCUGGGUGAGCAACUGGAUAGCUCCCCUGACAUCUAUGUCUUAUGAACUAGGCACUGAGCCUGAUGCAACUCCCUGAGCUGGAGUGUCCUCCUCCUGAGCAGCAUUAGCCGUAGCCCCUAGUUAGUAGUUGAGGCCCUCUUGGUGUACUUUCAUUUUUGCAGACUUUUUUCUAAAAUACGUAAUUCGCACAAGUUAGAAGGAUUCCAGAAAGCAUAGCUCUAACUACACGGUCUAGAGUAUGAAAGAAAUGAAACAUUUCUAGAUGUCUUGGUGGUCAAAUGUUUACACGUGUGGCGCUCUCACACACAUAAAGGUGUCCCCACUGGACACAGCUUCAUAGAUUCACUAGGACUCUUGAACCUAGACUCUAUUACCAAGCUUUGUCACGCCUCGAACCAGGGCCCGAGCGUAGCACGACAUUCGGUGCCUGAUUGCAUGUGAUUGAGCGAACCAACUGCAUGAUGGAUCAACAUGUGGUAUAAUUGUAAGAUGAAUAUAAAUAUGAAACAUACUGAUUUACUAAAGAGUCUAACUCAAUUAUCAUAAAUGCGGAAAGUACUGAAAAGUCUACAAGUAUAAACGAGUAGCCACCAAGGCUAAUACAUAAAAGCCUUCUUACAUCUGACUGACUGGACUAUAGUCUACAAAGCCUCUAAAGAAUACUGAAAUGCUAACUAUUUAACGAGACAAGGUCACUGGCAUACCUUACUAACUGAAAUACUAUAAAGAAUGAAAAAUUGGGAUAAUGCCCCGAAAGACUGGGGCUCACCAAUAGCUGAUACGAGAUGUCCUAGCAAGCUGAAUCGUCAACCUAUAAAUCGUUACCUGGAAUGCGAGAUGCAGGCCUUAGGAAAAAGGGACGUCAGUACAUUUAUAUUGCACUAGUAUGUAAAACAACUAAAAGAAAGAACUAUAAAUAAGUAAAGAUAUGAAUACUCCCUCUUCUGAAUUGUGAGUCACUUGUUUAUCUGAAUAAAUAAACUACGGCCUCAGGCCCAAAAACAGAUGUUCAACGUCAUGAUCUAAAAUUAGGAACUGAGAAUCAUGUUGCAAUACAUGAUACUAAAAUAUUGAAUCAUACUGGGUUACAUGAUACUGGAAUGCUAAAUAGGACUAGACAGGGAAUUGUAUUCACAAUAAAAUGAUUUUUCAUAACUGAGACUUAUCGGAUAUAGAACGAAUUAUGAACCCAUGUCUGCUAGAUAAUAGAAGUUCUACAACUAUUCAUGGAACUAAGGCAUAAUUACUUUCAGAGGAAUUUCGUAAUAGUCAUAAGAAUGAGACGGUGGGAGAAUCAUAAGCAUUCCAAAACAUAGAGAGUUGGCCAUACAUUACACUGUCCCUUUUAAGCAUAUCACAAAAUUCGUCGCCUCUUUCCACGAUAAUCUAUGGCGAUAUAUGUCAAGAGAACUAAUAUUAGCACUAAGGCUCAUGUGUUGGUAACCUAGGAAUUUUAUCAAACACCUUAUGGGCGUAAAGCCUCGUAUGCCUAAUUAAUGGUGUUUCUCACCCAACAUCCCAUUCUCUUGCUCCUAGAUAAAUUCUAAAAUCUUAAAUUGUUAUAAUCAAUAUCAUUCUUCAUCAUCCAUAAGAUAAACAACACCCUUAACCAAUAAUCAACAGUCAAAAUUGUCAUGCCCCGACCUCGGGGAGCGCGACCGGCGCUCAAACGAGAAAACCUAGCCGAGCAAGCCUACUAGAUGCCUUCUACCCAACCUUUCCCAUUAACAAUAUAACAAUCAAUACAAGUGAUAAACAUGAGAAGAGUCAAGUGUUCCACAUUCUUUUUCCAUUACUCAAAGGAUAUUCAUUUACGAUUUCCAAAAUAUUACAAGUUUAUAGAUUUGAUGCGAAACCGGUUUGCCAAAUACCAACACUUUGAGUUCCAUUCCCAAUAUCAAACACUACCCACAACCUAUCUACGAAGCCUCUAAGUAAAACAGAAGUGAAGAAUCGAAGUGCCGGCGACAAGUCCCCAGCUAUACCUCAAAGCACAAUAUACAACGUUAAAUGACAUAAAGCACGGAAUAUAGUACGGCUCACCAAAACCUGUUGAAUAAGGAGUAACUGCUAUCUAGGAUCAAGACCGCUCACUGAUGAACAACUUGCAUCCAUUGCAGAUGCAGCACCCCCGACAAAAGAGAUGUUAGUACAUGUGGAAUAGUACUAGCAUGUAUAGGUAAAUGCCCCCUUUCGAAAUAGAAUGCCAAUAUAAGAAGGGGAAAACUAUGGAGAUGCAGCACCCCCGACAAAAGAGACGUUGGGAGAUCAUUAGCUGUGAUAUACCACCGUGAUUUUAGCAGGGAGUCCGAUCACUGCCCGAUCAGCUAGGCCGUCUCACCCAAAGACAUCAACCAUAAUCACAAUCAUUAUCUAUAUAUCAAUCAUUGUUUCAAUUAUAAUCUUAAACGCAAUCACCACCAUGUGUCCGGCAUGGCGUCCGAUCACGACCCGACCGGCUUGGCCGUCUCACCACAAUGUCGUAUGGAUCCACAUCACCAUUUUCUAGAAAUCAUCUCAUCCUAAUAAAGGAGAAUAUUUUCAUCAGAUCAAUUCCAUCCCAAUAAAGCGGUACAAUCACAAUUCACUCCUACACCGACACGUGUAGUUUCGGGGUUAGGUUAUUCCAACCUACCCUUCCUCAACGACUAACAAUACUCCCAAAAAUAUUUUUGUUUUGCACAAAAGGGAAACAAAAGUACAAAUAUAUUUUAUAUUCACCUCAUAACCGUUCACACAAUAAAUAGCUUCAUUAGUACUUUCAACCAUUCACAAUACCAUUAUUUCAUUGGCUCUCUUGGCCAUACUUAUGAUUCAUCAUUCAUGGCACGUUGGCCGUAUUUCGUAUUCCACAUUUUUCAUUCUUUGACUUUCCAUGAUCAUCAUCACAAACAUCAACACAUAGAAUAUUUCAGAAAUCAUAAUUUUAAGUUCAUCAGUAGUGGAGUCUUUAAACACAUUAGACCCUUUUCCAAAACAUGAAGCACAAUGACUUGUAAUCACAUUACGAGUUAAAAAUCAUAAACGAGUGAAACAUCAUAUUUUUUAAAUACUUCUUCACAAAAGGCAAUACACAAUUUCAACUCUUGAGUACGUAAGAGCUCAAAUCACAGUGAAAAUAUUUAUAAAGGAGAGCAUGGUUAUUUACAAUUUACACACGACUUCAAACCAAAUGCACUAGUUACAACAACCAAGUCCACGUUUUAUAUCUCACUCUUAGUUCUUUCACUUUUAAGCAUAUUUAUGGAUCAUCAUCAAAAAGAGAAUUUGGGAUCAAGGCCUUAAGCAUAAAUAUGAACAAUAGGGGCCUUAGGCGUAUGGAGUUUUCUUUCACAAAUGGGCAUAACAACUUGCAAUUUACACAUGAUUUGAAAUCAUACUAACUCGACAUAUUCAAAACACUAGGAUACAUUCCCGAUGGAGAACACAAAAUGAUAGGAGAAUUUGGUGCACCUUGUUUAGUAUAUAUCUUUCAACAUAAGCUUAUUCAGAAUAGUCAAAUAUAUAAGGAAUAACUAAGAACAUGGGAAUUAGCAACUUGGGUCAACCAUCCUUGAAACUUACGAGAAUAUCAUGGAAUUCAAUUUCAAGAGAGAAGUUUAGCCAUCAUACCUUUCUUGAGCUUUUCUUAAGUCACUACAAUGUCCCAACAUCCUAGCAAUAACAAUCUAUAGGAAAAUAGCAAGAAAUUGGAUAAUAAUUAGAAGGAUUCCCAUGGUGUAACUCUCUUAGUAAUUUUGUCAAACACCUACUAUGCGAAAUAGACUACAAAGUUCCACAAUGGUAACCCCUUCCUCCAUCAACCAAUUCCAACAAGAAACUUAACCAAAAUGGUUUAUUAACCCCACAUACUACAACUUAUUGUCACAUGCAUGUCCUAUUUCCAACCCCACAAUAUACUUGAACUCAUAACCUCUUGCAUGAAAGCUUAGGAGUAGGACUUACCCGGAUAGAUGAUAAUCUAGUGAAUGACUUCCUUGAUUCUUGAAGAUUGGUGCAAGAAUAUGUGAUUGGAAUGCUAUAGUUCCUCCUUCUCUCUCUAAAAUACUCUUACCUCUCUCUAAAAUCAUCAGAGAUUCGUUUCAAAAUGAGCUCCUAAGGAUAUUUAUCAAAAUGGGGCCGGGUUAUAAAAAUAGGAAAAUGGACCCUCUGAACUCAGGUCUGCGAUCGAAGAAUAGACCACAGAACAGAUAUGCAGCCUGCAAAAUGGACCGCGAAAAUGAUGCCCAGAAAUGGGCCGAUCUGCGAUAGCUUUGCGGUCCGCAGACCACUUAUGUGGCUGCAGAGUGGACCACAAAAUCACUCUCCAAAAUAUUUCAUGCCAGAUGUGCAACGGAUGUGAGGAACGUGAAACAACUAUGCGAUCGCAUAAUGGACCGCAGAACAACCUUCAAAAUUCAACAAAUUCUCUGCUCAACUCUGCGAUGAUUAUGCGGCAAGCAAAAUGGUUCUGCGGUCGCAAAACUGACCACAGAAUCGCCUUCUUCCGCAAAAACAUUCCAUCAACUCCUCGGUGCAUUCUUCAAUCCAAAAAAGUAUGUACUGCGACUUUCUACAAUCCUCAAACACAUAAGCCUAGCUCGGCACCACAAAACCUCAAAUUCCUUGGAAAAGUUUAUGGGGCCUUACGUCCUCCCCCGCUUAGGAUCAUUCAUCCUCGAAUGAGGAGUAGAGUAUACCCAAAUCACCCAACAUAAUUCAUCUCUUCCUUCACACAUCGCAAUCCUCCAAAUUUGACUAACUCCCAAAUUUUCCAAAAAUUUUGGCAGAGUCUCCUCUGUAAUUGGACCUAACCACCUUCCAAAGUAACACUAAAACCACCCUAACAACACAUCCAUAUAUAAACAAAGUAUCACAAUAUAUGUUAAUAACACCGAUCUCAACAUUAAGGGCAUUACAUUAACAGAAGUGGUAUUUGGACAUGAACUGCAUAUUUUUUAAAUCGUAACACCCAGAAAGUACCUUUUGAACCACAGUCAUUUGGAUAUACAAACAAGUGAGAAUAUUUUAUUUCCACUACACUCUCGGCCAUCAAGGCAACCUCCUCGACUCACAGACUUAGCCAUAGCACUUGACGGAGGCAAUCUCAACUUCCGGGCUUAUCUAACAAGGAUGACAAUAGGGUACCUCUCAUAAGCCAAUUACCCAUUAACUUUACCUUCAAUAGCUUCGACAAGAACGAUAGUCAAAGGACUCCCAACUACCUUCUUUGACGUAGACACAUGAAGAAUCGGGUGCAUGGAGAACAACGAUGGGGGACAUCCUACGCUUAGCUCGGCCUAUGUGCCUCAAGAUUCUAUAAGUCCCAAUGUGUACCACUCCUACUUUACCUUUAUUAACAAUUCACAUAAUAUCUUGAUGGAGAUAAUAUGGAGAAUAACCCGUUCACUUUCUUCAACUCUAAAUUUCAAUGAUGAACACCCGAAGUGGACCCUUGGCGACCUUCAACCCCCAUCUCCUUCUUAUACUAUGGUGUGACUGAAUUAAUAUGACCAUAGAGUUCAUACCCAAUAUCUUCGAUUAUGGAGUGAUGCUUAUUUUUUAUAAUGUGAGAAACUACAACUCUCUAGAGAUGUACUACAAAUAGGAACAACGAGGUUCGAGUUUGAGCUAGAAUUGUUCAUUAAUCCACCAAGGUGCUAAGCAGGGCAUUUCAGGAGGUUAUAUUCUAAGAGACAUGCGGGUGACCACCAAUAGUGCUGACAUGGUUAAUCAUUGCGAUGACAUCAUAGAUUCAACAAACGAGGCAUAGAGUUACUAGUACACAUUAAUAAUGUGGGAACCAUGUACAUGAUCCUAAGUUGUAUAACAAGUGAGACAUUUUAGACAUGUGAUAUAUGAAAGGCAUGAUCGGGAGGAUAAAACAUUAGCAUCAAUUAUUCUGGGAAGAUGAUGAGUUAUGAAAGUGAUAGUAACAAUUGUUUCACUCCACAUGUGCCUUGUUCUGCAAUUGUAAGCCUUGAAGAGAAAUAGCCAAGUACGUGACACCAGUCGCCUCCUUGAGUGUAGGGAAAAUCAGUUUAGCUCAAAAUAAGAAGAUUCUUGUACCAUGAAUAUGAUAGAGAUAUAAAAUAUAUAUGAAGUUGCAUUACGCCCUCAAAAGUAACUGACACAAGGAAUCUAUGCCACAAGCCCACGAGGUUGAAAAAGAGGUUGAUCACUUGUGAGAUUAUUAUUAUUCUGGUAGCUUACCACUCUCCCAAUAGUUGAUCCUAUACCAGAGGACUAGAGAUACGGUUGGCUUAACCCUGAAACUAAAUAUGUUCAUGAUAAGGGCCUAACAAUAUGAAACAUUUAAUUUCAACCUUUCAUGGGUGAAACCAUGUAUCUAGGACAUCUUAAUAUUGGGAUUAAGGCAUGCAUAAUAUUAAGGAUAGUAAACACUCCGCACAUGACAAUGGCAUAGUAAAGGAUUCUAGAAGCCGAGUGUUUAGAGGUGACGCAACCCAUGAAGAUACAAUGAAGUAAUCAUGGAGGGUUUUGCGAAUGUUCAUAAUGAGUUCUCCAUGGAUUGUUUAUGACUUGAAAGUACUCAUAUGCUACCGGAGGAUGGGAAAACAUGUUAAGCAAAAAUGAUGCUAUGAUAACCCCAAAGGUGCAUUCAACUUAAUGGAGAUCCCCUUAAGAAUCCUAUGAGACAGGGAGUGUUACAGUGAUACAUAGAAGGACGCGAUCUCUCAUGGUUAUCCAACAAAUGUCAGGAAACUAGCACAAUGAAUUCACUAACUAAGGAAAACAGUUAAUACAUAUUGUAGAGGUGUAAAGAGAAAAUGAACAUUUGUUAUGAGCUCGACAUGUUUCUGCUAUAAUAACUCUCAAACUGCAGUAUCAGGCCACGUCAUGAGCAACUACAAUACUAGGAACAAAGUGAGUUACUUCAUGAGGUAUGAUCUAGGUGGAUUGAAAGUUAUACUAAGAUGGGCAGAUAUAAGAUCUUCCUAUGACGAACUUGUGUAAAUCCCAAAUUUCCGAGAAACUUGAUGCGGACAAGUGACCAUUUCAAUUCACAUGUACACAUAUGAUAGGUGUUUAGAUAUGCUCUUAUGUUACUAGACAGUGAAAAGGGUUUAUGAUAAUGCUCACAAAGGGAGUAAAGUGACUGUUCAAACCAUAUGAGUCACCUGCAUAGGAGAAAGAGAGUGGCUCAAGAAAGAUAUCGGCAUAAGGUUGCCUUACAUUAGAUUCGAUACCCUAUAGAUAAACAUUAUGAUAGUGCAUGCACAAGUACAAGUGAGCAGGUGUUAUCCAUUUGAAUUUGAAGGUUAUAUAAGAAAUUCAUCAGGUACAGUCUUUUGUUGAGGAUUUAGGAAAGCAAGUGGGAAGUAUUAACCUAGGGUUAUAACCCAAUUCAAGAAAAUCAUUAUAGAACUCAAUUCCUCAAGAGGUUUUAAAUAAGAGAAUUGUGAUAAAAAGGCUUCACGAAUAAUGUGUCUCGUUCAAAGAGUAGGUACAUGCAAUGUUUUGUGAUUCAGUUUCUUGUUAAGGCCAUAUUUAUGUAGGCUCUUCAAUAUAGAUGCACAUAUACAACAAGGAGAAUUAUGCGGUGUUCAUACAUGGUGAUGUACUAAGGAGUGACUUACUUGGUGACUUUAGGUUGACCGGAAAGUGCCUUAAAGCACGCCCCUCGACUCCACAUCUAUAACAUACAUUAGUACCAUAGUGACAUACCUCUGAAUGACAUCUCCUAUACUUCACGCAACGAGUAUGAGGUCCACUAAACUGACUCGCCCCGCUAACAUGAUAUUUACCCUUAUCCUUCCUCCAAGACCCCAUGAUGGGAUUAACAAUCUCUGUACCAGCUUUUUGUAUGAGCUUAUGGGAUUUCCCAAGCCUACCACCCCUAACACGCUCCUGAGCAUACUCGCAACACGACGUCAAAUGUUCCUUCCCUUAUAUCCGGUGGACCAGGAUGGGUGUACCUAACCUAGGGCAUUUGUUCUUCUUGUGCCCCCUUUUUCCACAUCCAUAACCUAUUUUAAGAGACAUCCAACAUCUCCCCAAGUGACGCUUCUUACAAAUCAAAUAAUCUAGUCAUAGGUACCAACAACUCUCUUUCGUUUCUUAGGUCCUCUCACCAUAUGAUCCGGUGGUGCGGUGACAUUGAUAGGAACAAGGACACUUCCCUUGGAAACAAGUUCUUCCGAUCCCUCCACGGCUCGACACAUUAUCCCAACGAACUCUAGUGCAAUCACUCUGAAAUUCAAUGGCGAGGUCAUACCCUCCUAGUUGCUUCGAACUCGUGGAUUACUCAUCUGGUAAAUGAGACAUGGCGAGGAAAUUAAAUUCCUAUAUUGAGCUCUAUCACACGAUCUGGAGUAUCAAAGAAGGGUGAAAUUCCAAAAUGUCCAAGUAGCCUCCUAAUUAUAAAAGUGGUCGACAACACACCGAUAAGAAGGACUCUACUACACACGGCUCCGAAACAUCCUAGGACACCUUAAAACCUUACGCUCAGAUACCAAGUUUGUCACGCCUUGACCUCGGGGAGCACGACCGACGCUCAAUCGAGAUAAUUUGGUCGUGCAAGCCUGCUAGAUGCCUUCGACCUAACCUUGCCCAUUAACAAUAUAAGAAUCAGUACAAGUGAUAGAUCUGAGAAGAUUCAAGUGUUCCACAUUUCUUUUCCAUUACUCAAAUGAUAUUCAUUUACGAUUUCCAAAAUAUUACAAGUUUCUAGAUAUGAUGAAAAAUAGAUUUGCCAAAUACCAACACUUCUAGUUCCAUUCCCAACACAAGACACCACCCACAACCUGUCUACGGAGGCUCUAAGUACAAUAGAAGUGAAGAAUGAAAGUGCCGGCGACAAGGCCCCGGCUAUACCUCAAAGCACAAUAUACAACGUUAAAUGACAUAAAGCCCGGAACAGAGUAGGGCUCACCAAAACCUACUGAAUAGGGAGUAACUGCUAUCGAGGAUCAAGACCGCUCAAUGAUGAACCACAUGCAUCCGUUGAAGAUGCAGCGCUCCCGGCAAAAGGGACGUUAGUACAUGUGGAAUAGUACUAGUAUAUAUAGCUUAAUGUCCCAUUUCAAAAUAGAACGCCAAUAAAAGAAGGGGGGAAACUAUAGAAACAACAAGUAACAAUCAACAGCAUCCAAAUGCCAAGUUUAAAACUAAACAAUUUUCAAAAUACGGAUAUAAUAUAUAUAUUUUUGGUUGGGAGAUCAUUAGCACCGACAUACCACCGUGAUUUUAGCACAGAGUUUGAUCACAGCCCGAUCGGCUAGACCGUCUCACCUAAAGACAUCAACCAGAAUCACAAUCAUUAACUCAAUCUUAAUCAUUAUCUUUAUUAUUCUGCCUUGCUGAUGGAUAAUACCUCAAGAAAUGGCUCUGCUGACUGCACCCAAAGCAACCAUUUAUGCCUAAAUGACACACCCCUAGGUGCCUUUUACCACACAUGUUGCAAAUAGGGUAAUCAGGGACUUUGUAGCCCACACUAGCCUGUGACUGUGAGUCUGCGGCUCUGAUAUUCCGUUUAUUUUCGCUAAACAUGGACCACUGAACUGGUGCAGUAGUUGAAGAUGGAGCAAGUCCUGAUUUUGGUUUCCUGAAGAACUGGCAAUUACUAAAUCCUUGAGAUCCCCCCAUCGCUGAAAUUUCCUGCAGUCUUAGCUCUCUUGCUGAAUUCCCUGUCGUUCUCUCUCUUUAGCCGCUCUUCUUCCUUCAGCCAGUAUUUUUCCCUUGAACAAGGGCAACCAUAUUAGUAAUGGUCAUGUCAUUGUUCUGAGCAGCUACAUUAGCAUCAGUAAACAAGUCAUCUGAAGGCCCCAACGUAAACCGCCUAACUCUGGCUCUCAUAUCACGUACUAUUUCCUGAGCAUACCUGGCAAGAGAGACGAACUUGAGGUAGUACUCGUUCACACUCAUCUCAUUUUGUUUGAGUCUCUAAAACACUAAAGCCUUAGCUUUCAAGACCUCAAUAAGUAGAUAUGCUCAAGAAAUGCAUUUGCAAACUCCUUCCUAGUCACACCUGUCGCAUCCUCCCCUCGGGACUCUUCCAAUGUUUCAUACCAAGUGUUAGCAACAUCCUUCAGCUGGUACGCAGCAAGCUCUGCUGCCUCAGUGUUUGUAGCAUGCAUCUCUUGAAAUAUAUUCUGAACAUCAUUAUUGAAGUUUUGUGGAUCCCCAACCUUUUUGGAAACUGUGAAAACUGUAGGUUUGAUGUUGAGGAAUUCCCUAGACCUGGAACUACCCAUCUCAUCAACAGCACGUGUUCCCUGCCUUUGAGCCUGAAUAGCAACAAUCUAGGUGAGCAACUAGAUAGCUCCCCUGACAUCAAUGUCUGAAGCACUGGGCACUGCGCCCGAUGCAACUUCCUGGGUAGGAGUGUCAUUAGUCGUAGCCCCUUGGCUAGUAUUUGAGGCCCUCUUAGUGUACGUUCUUUUUGCAUGCAUUUUUCUGAAAUACAUAAUUUGCAUUAGUUAGAAGGAUUCAAGAAAACAUAAUCUCUAACUACAUGAUGUAGAGUAUGAAAGAAAUGAAACAAUCCUAGAUGCCUUGGUGGUCAACUGUUUACAUAUGUGGCACACUCACACACAUAAAAGUGACCCCAUUAGACACGGAUUCAUAGACUCCCUAGGACUCUUGAACCUAGGCUCUUAUACCAAGCUUUGUCACGCCCCGAAUCAUCACUUGGGCAUAACACGUCACUUGGUGCCUGACUGAAUAUGACCGAGCGAACUAACUAGAUGGCUGGAUCAACAAGUGGUAUAAUUUUAUGCUGAAUAUAAACAUGCAACAUGCUGAUUUACUAAAGAGUCUGACUGAAAUAUCAUAAGUGCAGAAAGUACUCAAAAUUAUGAAGGAAGAAAACUAACUACCUUGUUAUCCAUAUCCAUGUAAAUACCAAAUUGGAAAAAAUAUGAAGGAAAAACAAACGAAGAUUAAGACUCACUAACAGUUGUAGCAGCGAUGAAGAGAGGAAUGAAGAUAGUGAAAAUACAAAAUCAAUAUCACAUAAAUAGUGCUAGAAAUAAGAGAGAAAAAUUAAAGCACAAAAGCCAGAGAAGAAGAUGCUCACAAAAAAACACAUAUAGGAGGCGACGUAGGCAGAAUUAAGUGGAAUUUGUCAUUAUUAAGGGUUAGGCAAGAGUUUUAAUUUAAUAGUGAUGACUGAUGACCAUUGGACUUAUUUUAUGUCUAUAAAUAUUGAUUAUAGUUUACUGAUAAGGAGUUUAGAGUACGUUAGAUUUUCAUUGUAACCUCAGAUAUUAAUAUUGGAUAGAUCCUGUUACUUCUCAUUUUCAUUUGACUAUACAAAGUUCUUGCUAUAUUAGUAUUAUUAACUUAAAAGCCUCAUUAACUUCGAUUGUUUCUUGGUGAUGUUUAAAUGAAUCUUCCGCUUAUCCAAUCUUCUUCUUAAAGUUUGAAUAUGUUAUGUUCAAUUUGUCAUUUUGUUGAUAGGUUGGAUUAUCCUCUUGCCUAAGUAUUUCGCACAUGACUAAGUCUGAAUGUAUCAUUGCUUUGGCUUAAGAUUUUGUUUCGGUCGCAAUUACAUUUGAUCUUUUGUUAGGUAAUUUAGCAAAUAGUAGUUCUUCCUUUUUCCAUGGCUAAGUUUCCUUUCACACGGUUUUUGACUUGUAUAAGCUUAUUUGCAUUGUAAUGACCUUCAGUUUUAAGAUUGUGUCCAUUAUUUCAUAAAAAACUUAUAAAGGUUGUCUGACACAAAUUACAUCCCGAUAAAGGUAUGAAAAUGAUGUUAAAUCAUGUAUUUUCUUGGGUCUUAUAUAGCGGUUCCAUAUAAGUUAAAAUUUACAACACUCUUUUCUAAUGAAAUACAGAAAAUCUAUAUGCUUUGUAUAUGCUGUAUAAUUUUAAACUAGAAGGACACCAGACAUUUACAGGACUCUAUUGAGAAAUGAGGCUGGUAAUGUGAAGUGAUUAAGUUUCCGCUUUGAGGAAAGCUCUUCUCAACCUCAACGGGUUUCACUUUUCAGGAUAAGGAUAUGUGAUGUAUCUUAAGAAUGGAUUGGUGGACUUUAAAACCUUUAGAUGGCAUCACUUGACAAUUAUGUGAAGUUCAUAGCAAAAAGUUUGGAAAAUGAAAUGUGUGCCUAAAUAAGAUAUGGAGGGAGACUGUAUAUUUGUGAGCUUAUACAAACGUAUGUGGGCUUAUUGUUAAACAUAGUCAUAAUUUUUUCAGUCUAUCUGUCUAUUUAUUAAAUAAAUAUCAUUUCUUUUAAUUUAAUCAAUAUGUAUGGUCUUGGAUCAUUAAUAAUAAUACAUUGCCAUUUUCACGACUUAAACUACUUAUUUGAUAUAUUUAAACUACUUCUCAAUUUGUAUUUAACUUAAAAAAUGACUGUGAUGGAGGAACUGUUCAAUAAGGCUGAAUGCCUUUUUGACCUCUGUUUAUACUUUAUAAUAUGGUGGGAUUUAUCAUGAGAAGGUGCAUUUAUGGAUUUUUUUGGUCAAGAUUUAUGGAGAUUAAAGAUAUAUAAAUGCAGAAGGAAAAUGCAUCACCCAUUACAUGCAUUUAAUAGCUUUAAAGAUUUAAUGUAAAUGGAACGUUUCAUAGUAAUCUCAUUCUUUGUUAAAAUGCUCAUAUUUCCUAUUGCCAAGGCUAAAUACUCCGUAUUGAGGAUAUUAACCAAUUCAUUUUUUUUCCAAAGAUAACUUAAUACUAUAAGAUUAAAUAUUCUUCCUUAAGUAUUGUCUAUGAAGAAUGAAAAGACAUCUCCUUUGGCAGGCGUGGACCUACAUAACGGCAAUGAGGAUUAUUGUAAGGCAGGGUACUUAGGACCAUAUUUUAAUAGGUUGCCUAGAAGUAGGAACAUUUGCAUGCCCUCAUACAUAGAUUGUGUCAUGUACGGUGCUUGAAGGACCAAAAUUGCACUCAUAGAUAACAUUGAAAAAAAAUUGUGAUUUUAUCAAUUUAUAGAAAUUAUUUAUGUUUGGCUACUUAUGAUAUUUUUAUCUUUCCUAUUUUAGCUAAAUUCAUUAAAACACAAUUUAAUAAUAUUUUUAAUGUGGUCCAAUUAAAAUUUUCAUCUCCAAAAGUGAAAUUGUUAGUAGUUCCCUUCAAUUUAAAAUAGCUGUACUUUGCUUUUUACUUAUUAAUAUUUGCCAUAUGUUCCUAACGUGGUUGCAACUUGCAACAUCAAAAAACAGAGAAGUAACGCCCUUUCAUUUUGAUAGAGCACCAUUCUCAUUCAAGUUUUUACCCUCCAAUGUUUCAUUCCUUUUGGACAUAUCAAAUCUAUAUGAGGAGAGAUCUCAAACGAACAAAAAAUAGUCGCAGUUUGAAGUGAUUGUGAUAACGACAGACGGUAGACAUGCAGUGGUAAUGGUUUCUCCCCACAAAGAUUUGUGUAUAUUCGUGGAUUUUACAUGUAUGUCAUAAUAAGAUUUCUAUAUUUCAUGAAUAGAAAAAAAAUACGUAUUCACUUUAAUUUUUUUUAUAUAUAAAGAUAAAAAAGUGUGUACCCGUGUCAAGCAACUAAAAGAGUAAAUUGUGAAUAGCUUAUGCCAAGAAAAUAAAAAGAAAUUUCUCUUCUUUAUCUUUCUCCUUUCUUUUGUGAAACCCAACAUGAUAUAAAAUAACAAGGUAAACAAUUAGGUAUAUAUAACCUAUUUUUAUUAUUUUUAAUAUUCGAAUAUUAGAAGAUCAUUUCAUAAAGAAGUUUUUCUUAAACCGCGCGAAGUGCGGCAAGUUCACUAGUUAAAUUAUAGAUUUGUAUAAAUUGACGAUCUUAAAUUAACUUAACAUUGUAAGUCUAUCACUCUGUAAGGAUCCCAUCACCUCACGAAGAAUUAACAAUCUAAUUCAAAUAUUUCAGGCCCCCUCUUUAGUUCUUCUUUUUCUUAAUUCUAUUGCGCUUCUUGAUUUUUAACCUUUAGCACUGUUAUUUCAAAGCUGGAAAAUCAUCUGAAGUUGUGCACAAGACAAUUUGGUAAAAGAUCUCCUCAUGCUUAUGCAUAAGGCCUUCUAAUGAAUAUAUGGCUGAUUAGCUCUUCUGUCUAGCACUACCUUUUUCUCUUUUCACUUUUAUCCUGACCUACAGAUCAAGAUAAUCUUUAUAUUUUGUAUUACAAUCAGUGGCGUACGUCGGAUUUUGCACAAAAGCAUUAAUAUGGUCUAUUAUCACAAUUUGGCUUGCGUUAUAAUUGAAAUUGAGUUAGAGAUUGUGAUAAUUUGAGUCUUUAGUUACUGUUACAAAUUGAUAUUUACUUUGUAAUAUUCUCAUGCGACGUCAACCUAUUAUUUACAUACAUCCAUACAUAUUUAUUUUUUGAGAAAAUAUUAUUUAUGCACAUAUAAAAGAAAAAUUUUAGCAAAGUGGUGUUGCAUGACACCCCUGAUAUCCUCCACUUGUUGAGAUCCAAUUCCAAAAGACUACGUAUCUCUUACGAUUUGAAAAUCAAGUCGGAGACCACCACACAUAUACAUGAAAUACCUCAACAAGUAGUGGACAUGGAAGAGAUUGUUUUGCAAAUGCCAUUCGUUUUCCAAGCUAUAAAUAGGAUAAUUCGACCAUAUCUUGCAACGACUUGAGUUGGCUUUGACGUGUAUAGGCUCAUAUCUCAAAGCAAGGGUAAGUUCAAAACACUCCUUCACUACCAAUAUGGUUGUUCUAAUGAGUGCCAGCAAGAAGAAGGUAUCAAUUGGUUUCCCCAAGGUUUUGGCUACGGAAGCUAAGUUGGGAUCGAUAAUAUGUAUCUACAGAGGAUGUGAAGGCGAUGACAAUGACGAUGAUGAUGAUGAUGCUUCAAAGGUGGCACCAGCUGCAUGAUAUUAUAAUAGUAUUUCCUACAACAACACAUAGUAAUACAUAUAGCUAGCUAGGUUCCCAUGUUUCUUUGCUGCAGAUGUUGCUCUAAAGUGAAUUAACAAUGUUGACAUCUAAAAGAGAGAGACAUGUAGUGAAGUGAGUUACGUCUGUAGAGAAGGAAGAGAGCAAUGCAUGAGAGAUAUCUUCUUGUUUUCAACUUACAGUA